This 774-nucleotide ribosomal RNA is filed under the name Salmonella enterica. Its description in RNAcentral is "partial 23S ribosomal RNA". It matches the Rfam family "Bacterial large subunit ribosomal RNA", at positions 2029 to 2802 of the family's 2925-position model. The record is from RNAcentral. Lineage: Bacteria; Pseudomonadati; Pseudomonadota; Gammaproteobacteria; Enterobacterales; Enterobacteriaceae.
AGACUCAGUGAAAUUGAACUCGCUGUGAAGAUGCAGUGUACCCGCGGCAAGACGGAAAGACCCCGUGAACCUUUACUAUAGCUUGACACUGAACAUUGAGCCUUGAUGUGUAGGAUAGGUGGGAGGCUUUGAAGUGUGGACGCCAGUCUGCAUGGAGCCGACCUUGAAAUACCACCCUUUAAUGUUUGAUGUUCUAACGUGGACCCGUUACCCGGGUUGCGGACAGUGUCUGGUGGGUAGUUUGACUGGGGCGGUCUCCUCCUAAAGAGUAACGGAGGAGCACGAAGGUUGGCUAAUCCUGGUCGGACAUCAGGAGGUUAGUGCAAUGGCAUAAGCCAGCUUGACUGCGAGCGUGACGGCGCGAGCAGGUGCGAAAGCAGGUCAUAGUGAUCCGGUGGUUCUGAAUGGAAGGGCCAUCGCUCAACGGAUAAAAGGUACUCCGGGGAUAACAGGCUGAUACCGCCCAAGAGUUCAUAUCGACGGCGGUGUUUGGCACCUCGAUGUCGGCUCAUCACAUCCUGGGGCUGAAGUAGGUCCCAAGGGUAUGGCUGUUCGCCAUUUAAAGUGGUACGCGAGCUGGGUUUAGAACGUCGUGAGACAGUUCGGUCCCUAUCUGCCGUGGGCGCUGGAGAACUGAGGGGGGCUGCUCCUAGUACGAGAGGACCGGAGUGGACGCAUCACUGGUGUUCGGGUUGUCAUGCCAAUGGCACUGCCCGGUAGCUAAAUGCGGAAGAGAUAAGUGCUGAAAGCAUCUAAGCACGAAACUUGCCCCGA